Long non-coding RNA from Monodelphis domestica (gray short-tailed opossum), 1874 nucleotides. NCBI's taxonomy places the organism in Eukaryota, Metazoa, Chordata, Mammalia, Didelphimorphia, Didelphidae. The record is from Ensembl.
UGCUUCCAGCUUGCAGUUGAACAAGCCCGAUGCCAGAUCUCGAGGCCUCCUGUAUUGGAGAUUCCCAGAAAAAGCCCUGCCUUCCUGUCAUCUUUCUCAAUUUAUGCUCUUCAUGAUGUUCCUUUCCAGGUCCUCUCUGAUUGGAGGACUCAGAUCUCAAUCAGGACAAGAGAUGGGUCUUCCAGACACCAAGACACCCAGGUGGCAAUCCAGAAUGGCUACAAGACCCCACAUGGACUGUGCCUAGCUGGUGCAAGCAAACAGGAUUCACAUACAAAACAAUAUAAAGCAUCCUAUACAAAAACAGGAGUCACGUACAAAGCACUUACUCCCAAGACUACUGAAUUUAUCCAUGUAUUUCAGUUGGAAUCAUAAGAGAUAUCUCUCUGGAUGAGGAAAUUGUAGCUAAGAAGAAAGAAAAACUCAAGACCAGGGUUGGAACUUUACAUCCAAUCACAAAAAUCCAAAUGGAAAUGCCAAGAGCCCCAUAGUAUACACAUCUCCAAGAGGUUUUAUGGAUGUUCCUGGUGUUUACAUUUUCACCCACUCCUCUCCUUCUUAAUAUUAAUGAGUAUGAAUGACUGAAUGAAUGAAAAGGCCUUUAAAACAUUCAUUAAACAAUAUUUGUCAAGCAAUAGGCUAAGCAUCAGGGAUACAAACAGAAAAGCUAGACAGUCCCUGCUAUCAAAGAAUUCAAAUUCUAAUAUUUGAGGGAGACAACACAUAAAAGCAAGUUUUCCCACUAGGUGGGUGUAAGUCCUGGUAUCUCUCCAUCUUAUUGAAAGGAAUGUAGUUGGUGACUCAUCCAGCUCAUCUAGGCAGUGUGGGUGGCUAUGUGGGGGAGGAGAAAAGUCUGGAAGAGCCAAGCUAAGAACUCUUGGGUAAGGGAGCUGGGGAGUGGGGCAGGGGCUUUAAGUUGUAUCCUGAGGAGAAAAGGCUAAAGGCACAAGUGACCGGAAGAUGCUAAAGCUUGAAGAAAUCGAUCAUUCAUACACUGAGACAUGGAAGAUAAUUGUAAAUCUAUGAAAAGCAAAAGACUGUAGCUGUUAAACUGAAGGUCUACUUCAGACUUCAUCGACCACCUAAAAUUGCAGCCAGGCUGGAACAUGGGUGGUAUGAGUGUGAAAGGUGGCUAGAUACUUGAUGUUCUAUCUCCACAGAAAUUGUUACAGCUGAGAAAGAAUUAGGAAGAAGCAGUCAUUUCAGAUUAAGUACCCUGGCCACUGAGUAGCUGCUUUUCUUUGGUAAAUUUUGCUCUAAGAGUCCACAGCAGGGCUGAAGUUGAGACAGGAAAAUACAACUGUACUAUCCAGGGAGAAGACAUUUCCAUUUAUUUCCCUCUCACCACCUUAUCCUUCUACAUCCCUGAAGAAUACUUGAAUAGAUGGUGGACAAAUGCCAACAGCUCCUGAAGAGAUAGCCUGUAUAACCCCUUCUUUUUGGAAGCUUUCCUGUGAAAUCACAAGCAUGACUGUAUUUUUUUUUUGUCUCUAAUGCGUCAAAAAGUAACUAUUAUUUGUACUGCUUUACAUAUAUAAGCAUGCAUCCCUUUGCUCCAUCUUGGUGAACUAAGAACCCGAUAGACCCCUUUUGUUGGGAGUAUGAAGGGAAGGUGAUCUAUGAGAGACAGGAAUUAGCUGAAGAUUUUCUAAGGAAAGAGGGUGAACAUGGGGUCUAAUUUCCAGCAAUAGUAGUCAUUGCUGUCUGACUGGCCAAAGGAAUUGUUCAUGAUACCUGUUCAACUACAUAGUAAUGUGGAUUCUGAACAGGUAACCUCCAUUAUCUAACUGCCUAAAAAUCUGGCCAUCUCUCUGGAUUGCAUACCAAUAGGCAGUCUGAAUAAAAGAGACUACUUUAGUUAGACUUCUUGAGGC